CAACCUGCCCUUGAGACGGGGAUAACUCCGGGAAACCGGAGCUAAUACCGGAUAACACAUAUCUUCGCAUGAGGAUAUGUUAGAAGGUGGCUUUUAGCUACCACUCAAGGAUGGGCCCGCGGCGCAUUAGCUAGUUGGUGAGGUAACGGCUCACCAAGGCGACGAUGCGUAGCCGACCUGAGAGGGUGAUCGGCCACACUGGGACUGAGACACGGCCCAGACUCCUACGGGAGGCAGCAGUAGGGAAUCUUCCGCAAUGGACGAAAGUCUGACGGAGCAACGCCGCGUGAGUGAUGAAGGUUUUCGGAUCGUAAAGCUCUGUUGUUAGGGAAGAACAAGUAUCUGUUGAAUAAGCAGGUACCUUGACGGUACCUAACCAGAAAGCCACGGCUAACUACGUGCCAGCAGCCGCGGUAAUACGUAGGUGGCAAGCGUUGUCCGGAAUUAUUGGGCGUAAAGCGCGCGCAGGCGGUUCCUUAAGUCUGAUGUGAAAGCCCACGGCUCAACCGUGGAGGGUCAUUGGAAACUGGGGAACUUGAGUGCAGAAGAGGAGAGCGGAAUUCCACGUGUAGCGGUGAAAUGCGUAGAGAUGUGGAGGAACACCAGUGGCGAAGGCGGCUCUCUGGUCUGUAACUGACGCUGAGGCGCGAAAGCGUGGGGAGCGAACAGGAUUAGAUACCCUGGUAGUCCACGCCGUAAACGAUGAGUGCUAAGUGUUAGAGGGUUUCCGCCCUUUAGUGCUGCAGCAAACGCAUUAAGCACUCCGCCUGGGGAGUACGGUCGCAAGACUGAAAC
RNAcentral lists this ribosomal RNA (795 nucleotides) under Bacillus sp. Wb1-13. RNAcentral's name for it is "bacterial SSU rRNA". It matches the Rfam family "Bacterial small subunit ribosomal RNA", at positions 122 to 900 of the family's 1533-position model. Lineage: Bacteria; Bacillati; Bacillota; Bacilli; Caryophanales; Bacillaceae. The record is from RNAcentral.